UUUAUUUUUGAGUUUUUAUACUGAAUGAAAGUGUUAUAUGCCUAUUAUGGUCUAAUAUGGUUUAUAUUAGACCUCCGGGUUUAAAGGCUACUUUUAGAAAUUGCAUGUGAUGAAUGUACGUAUAAAAAGUACAGUAACAAAAGUUUGUUGCCUGUUUCCUCAAAAUUAACAAAUUGUAUCAUAUCCCCUUCAUUCACUUAUGUCUUCAAUUAUAAUGAGGUUUGUUAAACGACCUCGGAAUGGACUCCACGGUGUUUCCCGAGCGCUCAGGCGUGACAAGCCUUCUAGGUUUACGGAGAGAACUCGUUGGGGGGCAGCGCCCUGGCUGUCCAGGUGCCGUUGACAAUGCCAGUAAAGAGCCACGUCAAAACAUGAAUUGUAUACAACGGCUUUCCCAUCCUUUAACCCGGAAUUCAGACCUCCACGAAGUCUAUUCCGGACUUGAAUACGUUUUUUUUAUUGCCUGAUGGUGAGUGGAUACCGUCGCCAGUGGACUUCAGCAAUGCCAGAGGCAGAGUCAAGCUGCUACCUACAGUACAUACUAAUAAAAUCACAUUCCCAUCACCAGAUUGAGGCGAGCGCCCCGCCGCUUCGACUAUGUCAGUUAAAUCUUAAUUUAUAUCCUCACACGUCCUUAUCGUUCCUUAUCAUCUCAGUCCUUAAGUCCGUAACAUCCUCUUGUUUAUUACUUCCUACUUUUAUCGAUUUUAAAUCGGAGUUUUCUGUGAUAGUUUAAAUGCGCCUUCGUGCGUCAUGUCUCAAGGUGGGUGGUGCACGGAAGUGUGCCCAACAGGGCGCAACUCCACCUGAUGCUGUCCCUAAGCCGGCUACUUCUCUAUCCACUCUUGUUCCCGUGCGCUACAUCCUAUUUCUCUUCAAGCGAGGUUUGAAAAGAGUCCUGGGUAGCCAGACCGGUCACCGUCCUCGCCGAACCCGUCGCUUGCGACGCAGGGCUCGACAAGAAAAUUAACCCACAGACACAGCCCACUGAGUUUCUCGCCGGAUCUUCUCAGUGGGUCGCGUUUCCGAUCCGGUGGUAGAUUCUGCGAAGCACUGCUCUUGCUAGGGCCAGUGUUAGCAACGACGUCAGGUUUGAGCCUCGUGAGCUCAUCUACUAGUUAAGGUUACGCUAAAAUGGCCUCUCAAGACCAUCAGCUUAGGUGGGUAAAAACAAAAGGCAUCCAGCGGAAUGGCUAUUGGUGAUAACCCACACCUGAUGCUAAAAGGGCAUCUUUUAUUGGUGGUAGGAGAUCUUCUCGUGAGUCCGCACGGGUAGGUAUCACCACCCUGCCUGUAUCCGCCGGGAAGCAGUAAUGCAUUUCGGUUUGAAGGUUGAGCAGCAGUUGUAACUAUACCGAGACCUUGGAUCUCAUAUCUCAAGGUGGUUGGCGCCAUUUACGUUGUAGAUGUCUAUGGGCGCCGAUAACCACUUAACUCGCUUAGCUCGUCCACCCAUCUAAGCAAUAAAUAAAAAUAAUCUAUCACAAUGUAAACAACGCCACUCAUCUUAAAACACGAAAUCGAAUCUCAAUAAAAUUGUGGUAGGUAUAACACGUAGAAGGCAUGGCAGCAUCGCGGCAGAUGAAGCCAUUAGCGAAAAAGACCAAGAAUAAUAAUAAUUAUGGAAACAAUAAUUUGACAUUUUUAGUAACAAUCCUAACAGAGCAUUGACCAUAAACCACAUGUUGGAAGUUUACGCGCCAAUUUUAUCAAAAUUAAUUUCAUGGCAAUAUCUUUCUUAUUUGUAUUGGAGUAAGAAUCAUUAUCCAGCGAACCAUACAUAAUUUUUUCUGUUCGCGUAUCGUGAGAAUUUUAUAACAUUUAAAAGAUAAUAUGCUUUGUUAGUUCAAAAAUAAAGGCGAAGAUCGUUUAAGUAAUGUAAAAAUACCUGUUCUUUUGACCGAAAUUGACCUCUUCAAAACGCGGGAAGAGCGCUGUCGAGUAUAUGAUAUGCUAUUUUGACUCUUAACACAGGUGGCUAAGAUAAUUUUUCUUUUGUAUUAUUUCGCUUGUGAUUUUCUUCAUUCAAUAAGUUUGGCGGGCCUAUUUGCAAGUAGGUAGUCAGUUAAGGUUAGGUUACUGCUCAUAGUCUAAAGUCGAAUAAACAAAGAAUCGAAUAAUUAAUAUCAAACAAUUAUUGACUUUUACUCACUAAAAGAGCCAUUUUGUGCAACACGAAAAAUAUAGGAGAUCCUAUCAUCAUCAUCAGCCUGCGGCAGUCCACUGCUGGACAUGGGCCUCCCCCAAAGCUCACCACUGAACCCGAUCUUCGGUUCUACGCAUCCAGUUACUGCCAGCUGCUCGCUCCAUCUAGCAGGAGGGCGUCCUACACUACGUUUGCUGUUUCGCAGUCUCCACUCCAGAACACGUCUACCCCAACGGUUAUCGGUUCUGCGACAUAAAAUAUGUGACCAGCCCAUUGCCACUUCAGCUUACUAACUCUGGAGGAGUAGGAGAUCCUAUAUUCAUUUUUAUAUAAAUAAUAAUGGAACGUUUGUCUUUUAUGCAUUCUUAAGCCAUGCUUUUGAUUGUAAUGAUAUUUAGUGUCGUUGAAGUUGGCGCUCCGCGAAGGCUUCUCUGGUCGUACCAUCGAGGAAUUUCAAGAAAUCCGUGUAAAAUCAGCUUUUUACACAUGCCCGUGGCUGGUUUUCACCACCUUUAAAUAUAAAUAGCACAUAUACCUACCUAUUACUGGUUGGUCUAUGCUUUUGUCUUUUUUAACUAUUAAAUUAUCAUUCAUUGUUCA
Molecule: long non-coding RNA, 2746 nt
Organism: Bombyx mori (domestic silkworm)
Lineage: Eukaryota; Metazoa; Arthropoda; Insecta; Lepidoptera; Bombycidae
Exons: 2
Source: RefSeq, a predicted model, not a curated record